GCCCUGCUGAGGAGUCCCGCAAUAGGACGAAACGGCCGUCCAGUAC
Non-coding RNA from Schistosoma curassoni, 46 nucleotides. Lineage: Eukaryota; Metazoa; Platyhelminthes; Trematoda; Strigeidida; Schistosomatidae. The record is from Rfam.